UCGUAACAAGGUUUCCGUAGGUGAACNUGCGGAAGGAUCAUUA
RNAcentral lists this ribosomal RNA (43 nucleotides) under Phytophthora sp. 92-207. Its description in RNAcentral is "partial 18S ribosomal RNA". It matches the Rfam family "Eukaryotic small subunit ribosomal RNA", at positions 1789 to 1831 of the family's 1831-position model. The record is from RNAcentral. Lineage: Eukaryota; Oomycota; Peronosporomycetes; Peronosporales; Peronosporaceae.